CUGCUCGGGUGUGGGACCAUGA
This 22-nucleotide microRNA is filed under the name Gadus morhua (Atlantic cod). RNAcentral's name for it is "gmo-miR-10545-3p". The record is from miRBase by way of RNAcentral. Lineage: Eukaryota; Metazoa; Chordata; Actinopteri; Gadiformes; Gadidae.